RNAcentral lists this ribosomal RNA (480 nucleotides) under uncultured bacterium. RNAcentral describes it as "partial 16S ribosomal RNA". It matches the Rfam family "Bacterial small subunit ribosomal RNA", at positions 30 to 507 of the family's 1533-position model. The record is from RNAcentral.
AUUGAACGCUGGCGGAAUGCUUUACACAUGCAAGUCGAACGGUAGAGGGGGCAACCCCUUGAGAGUGGCGAACGGGUGAGUAAUAUAUCGGAACGUGCCCAGUCGUGGGGGAUAACGUAGCGAAAGUUACGCUAAUACCGCAUACGAUCUAAGGAUGAAAGCGGGGGAUCGCAAGACCUCGCGCGACUGGAGCGGCCGAUAUCAGAUUAGGUAGUUGGUAGGGUAAGGGCCUACCAAGCCAACGAUCUGUAGCUGGUCUGAGAGGACGACCAGCCACACUGGAACUGAGACACGGUCCAGACUCCUACGGGAGGCAGCAGUGGGGAAUUUUGGACAAUGGGCGAAAGCCUGAUCCAGCCAUUCCGCGUGCAGGAUGAAGGCCCUCGGGUUGUAAACUGCUUUUGUACAGAACGAAAAGGUUUCUAUUAAUACUAGGAGCUCAUGACGGUACUGUAAGAAUAAGCACCGGCUAACUACGUG